GGUAUGCACUGGCUUCGCUGAUUCCUCCUUUCCGAAGAACUGUAAUGUCAUUAAUUUGGUGUUGCAGGGAAACAGGACUGUUACUUUGAAAAAAUUAGAGUGUUUAAAGCAGGCUAACGCUUGAAUACAUUAGCAUGGAAUAAUGAAAUAGGACGUUCAAACCUAUUUUGUUGGUUUCUAGGAUUGACGUAAUGAUUAAUAGGGAUAGUUGGGGGCAUUAGUAUUCAAUUGUCAGAGGUGAAAUUCUUGGAUUUAUUGAAGACUAACUACUGCGAAAGCAUUUGCCAAGGAUGUUUUCAUUAAUCAAGAACGAAAGUUAGGGGAUCGAAGACGAUCAGAUACCGUCGUAGUCUUAACCAUAAACUAUGCCGACUAGGGAUCGGAUGAUGUUAAUUUUUUAAUGACUCAUUCGGCGCCUUACG
Molecule: ribosomal RNA, 422 nt
Filed under: uncultured Glomeromycotina
Lineage: Eukaryota; Fungi; Glomeromycota
Description: SSU rRNA
Rfam family: Eukaryotic small subunit ribosomal RNA
Source: RNAcentral